CAUUCAGGGUAUGGCUUUUGGAUACGUGAUUUGAUAUGACCCGACGAGGUCGCAUGGCGGCUAGCCCUGAUGUUUUGCUGCUCAGUCGGGGCCUGUGCCUUAGGAGGCUAGCUCACAAGUGGGACCUGGGGUCAGCAAAAGGAUAAUGGUCCGGAGGCGAGUCCGGGCUUGUCAUGGGUCAGAAAGAGUAGGCCUGCGAGUCAGUUGGGCGAACCCAUCGAGCGCCACCACUCAAUAUGCCUAGAGCAGCCAAUUGCC
RNAcentral lists this long non-coding RNA (258 nucleotides) under Elaeis guineensis (African oil palm). RNAcentral describes it as "long non-coding RNA (EGUI_LNC026789)". The record is from RNAcentral. Lineage: Eukaryota; Viridiplantae; Streptophyta; Magnoliopsida; Arecales; Arecaceae.